RNAcentral lists this ribosomal RNA (506 nucleotides) under uncultured bacterium. Its description in RNAcentral is "partial 16S ribosomal RNA". It matches the Rfam family "Bacterial small subunit ribosomal RNA", at positions 29 to 523 of the family's 1533-position model. The record is from RNAcentral.
AGUGAACGCUGGCGGUAGGCCUAACACGUGCAAGUCGAACGGCAGCACAGGAGAGCUUGCUCUCUGGGUGGCGAGUGGCGGACGGGUGAGGAAUACAUCGGAAUCUACUCUGUCGCGGGGGAUAACGUAGGGAAACUUACGCUAAUACCGCAUACGACCUACGGGUGAAAGCAGGGGACCUUCGGGCCUUGCGCGAUUGAAUGAGCCGAUGUCGGAUUAGCUAGUUGGCGGGGUAAAGGCCCACCUAGGCGACGAUCCGUAGCUGGUCUGAGAGGAUGAUCAGCCACACUGGAACUGAGACACGGUCCAGACUCCUACGGGAGGCAGCAGUGGGGAAUAUUGGACAAUGGGCGCAAGCCUGAUCCAGCCAUACCGCGUGGGUGAAGAAGGCCUUCGGGUUGUAAAGCCCUUUUGUUGGGAAAGAAAUCCAGCUGGCUAAUACCCGGUUGGGAUGACGGUACCCAAAGAAUAAGCACCGGCUAACUUCGUGCCAGCAGCCGCAGUAA